This 448-nucleotide ribosomal RNA is filed under the name uncultured bacterium. RNAcentral describes it as "bacterial SSU rRNA". It matches the Rfam family "Bacterial small subunit ribosomal RNA", at positions 331 to 793 of the family's 1533-position model. The record is from RNAcentral.
CCAGACUCCUACGGGAGGCAGCAGUGGGGGAUAUUGCACAAUGGGGGGAACCCUGAUGCAGCGACGCCGCGUGGGUGAAGGAGUGCUUCGGCAUGUAAAGCCCUAUCGGCAGGGAAGAAGCAAGACGGUACCUGACUAAGAAGCCCCGGCUAACUACGUGCCAGCAGCCGCGGUAAUACGUAGGGGGCGAGCGUUAUCCGGAUUCACUGGGUGUAAAGGGAGCGUAGACGGCCAAGCAAGCCAGGGGUGAAAGCCCGGGGCCCAACCCCGGGACUGCCCUUGGAACUGCAUGGCUGGAGUGCGGGAGGGGCAGGCGGAAUUCCUAGUGUAGCGGUGAAAUGCGUAGAUAUUAGGAGGAACACCAGUGGCGAAGGCGGCCUGCUGGACGAUGACUGACGUUGAGGCUCGAAAGCGUGGGGAGCAAACAGGAUUAGAUACCCGCGUAUCG